RNAcentral lists this ribosomal RNA (497 nucleotides) under uncultured bacterium. RNAcentral's name for it is "partial 16S ribosomal RNA". It matches the Rfam family "Bacterial small subunit ribosomal RNA", at positions 28 to 507 of the family's 1533-position model. The record is from RNAcentral.
GAUGAACGCUGGCGGCGUGCCUAAUACAUGCAAGUCGAGCGAACGGACGAGAAGCUUGCUUCUCUGAUGUUAGCGGCGGACGGGUGAGUAACACGUGGAUAACCUACCUAUAAGACUGGGAUAACUUCGGGAAACCGGAGCUAAUACCGGAUAAUAUUUUGAACCGCAUGGUUCAAAAAUGAAAGACGGUCUUGCUGUCACUUAUAGAUGGAUCCGCGCUGCAUUAGCUAGUUGGUAAGGUAACGGCUUACCAAGGCAACGAUGCAUAGCCGACCUGAGAGGGUGAUCGGCCACACUGGAACUGAGACACGGUCCAGACUCCUACGGGAGGCAGCAGUAGGGAAUCUUCCGCAAUGGGCGAAAGCCUGACGGAGCAACGCCGCGUGAGUGAUAAAGGUCUUCGGAUCGUAAAACUCUGUUAUUAGGGAAGAACAUUUGUGUAAGUAACUGUGCACAUCUUGACGGUACCUAAUCAGAAAGCCACGGCUAACUACGUG